GAAAGCUACGUGGUCAUGGUAGAUGGUUGUGCACCAAUGAUCAUAACUUUUCUGUAGUACCUCCUACACUUGAGCGGGUGUCCCACAUAUAGAAGUGUUAAGUGGACACACUACCCGCUGGAGGUAGUCAGAGUGGAAGCAAGUAUAAAGUUGGUCCUACUCUGAUAAAAUCCACGUCCCGUUUCCAACCCUUCUUGGUCCGGUUGUUAAAUAAGGAUACCAAGCCAUCUGUUUUCCCAAGACAGUAUAAUUGUUUGGGAGGUAGUUAUUGACUUCAUUCAAGUCUGCUUGAGAAGGUGAGGGAUGCCUCACGCAUUCUCUUGGCUAGAUGUGUUGCAUCAGCCAAGUCACAAGACUCAAACCUUGGUGCGUGCCCCUUCUGUCUCUCCCAGAUGGACGACGUAGAGAACGGUCUAUGAAUGACGUCGACACCAGGAAGCUGCCUCUAUUGGGCAACACAGUUCACAUGAUAACCGUUGGUAUGCGGUGUGUUGUUUCUCUAAGUAGAGGAGGUGUAAUGCCUGGCCCUUUGUGAACAAGGGGGUUUGGGAUGGGGAGUCGCUUAGAUUUCCUCUGCCCGGACCAAUUAAGAGCUUAAAAGCAAUUAAUUGCUACCC
Molecule: unclassified non-coding RNA, 617 nt
Filed under: Beet black scorch virus satellite RNA
Source: RNAcentral